Molecule: ribosomal RNA, 211 nt
Filed under: Hemidactylus turcicus (Mediterranean house gecko)
Lineage: Eukaryota; Metazoa; Chordata; Lepidosauria; Squamata; Gekkonidae
Description: partial 16S ribosomal RNA
Source: RNAcentral
UGUGGAGCUUAUAACUACACGCACUAUAACUAGCCAAACCCACCAACAGGUUACUACACCACAACUAAUAAUAGGCUAAAGUUUAAGUUGGGGCAACUUCGGAGAACAACCUAACCUCCGAGCAACAGGAUUCCAAUCCACUAAAAGGGCCACAACCCCAAUAGACCAAAAAUUGACCCAGUACCACUGAUAAACGAACCAAGUUACCCCA